RNAcentral lists this unclassified non-coding RNA (233 nucleotides) under Hevea brasiliensis (rubber tree). The record is from RNAcentral. Lineage: Eukaryota; Viridiplantae; Streptophyta; Magnoliopsida; Malpighiales; Euphorbiaceae.
UUGAGGUUUGUGCACAACAUCACUAUGCUUUAAAAUUCAUUGAUAAAGUGAAUGAAAUAUGUAUUUUACUUUUGCUUUGAAUUGUUGAAAGUUUAUUUGUGACAUUAUUUAUGAUGUUUUGAUUUAAACUGUGAAAGCUAUUGUGUAUAUUUGAAAUAGCAAUGUUUAGCAAAUUGUUAAGAUAAGUUUUGAAAUCACAGUGUCAUGAGUAUAUAUUUGAACACCUCACUAGC